UACGGAAUGUGCAACCGUUAUUCGGAAUCACUGGGCUUAAAGAGUCCGUAGGCGGCUUGUUAGGUGAGGUGUGAAAGCCCUCGGCCCAACCGAGGAAUUGCGCUUCAAACCGGCAAGCUAGAGGAGGAUAGAGGUGGGCGGAACUGAUGGUGGAGCGGUGAAAUGCGUUGAUAUCAUCAGGAACACCGGAGGCGAAGGCGGUCCACUGGGUCAUUUCUGACGCUGAGGGACGAAAGCUAGGGGAGCGAACGGG
Molecule: ribosomal RNA, 253 nt
Filed under: uncultured bacterium
Lineage: Bacteria
Description: partial 16S ribosomal RNA
Rfam family: Bacterial small subunit ribosomal RNA
Source: RNAcentral